RNAcentral lists this ribosomal RNA (586 nucleotides) under Blastocystis sp. RNAcentral describes it as "partial small subunit ribosomal RNA". It matches the Rfam family "Eukaryotic small subunit ribosomal RNA", at positions 50 to 635 of the family's 1831-position model. Lineage: Eukaryota; Bigyra; Opalinata; Blastocystidae. The record is from RNAcentral.
CGUAUACGUCAGAGCUCACCUGACUGUGUAAGUAUAAAUAUUUCACCUUUAAACUGGCAAUGGGUCCAUUAUACCAUUUUUAUUUAAUUAAAAAAAUGUUCUACUUGGAAAACCCGAAUAAUUUCAGAGGCAAAACCUGAACUAAUCCCCCAAUUUUAAAAGGGGUUUUUUUUAAAAUGAAAACCCAUAAACUUUGUCUGUUUGUGAGUAAAAAAAAAUUGUUCUAUCCCAUGCUUAAGUAACGAUGUGUCUUUUAAGUUUUUGCCCCAUCAUCUUUUUAUGGUGGUGUAUUGGACUACCAUGGGGGUAACGGGGAACAAAAAAUUUGGGGUCUAUUUCUGAAAAGGAGCCUGAAAAAAGGCUACCACAUCCCAGGAAGGGAGCAGGCGCCUAAAUUACCCCAUCCUGACACAGGGAGGUAGUGACAAUAAAUCACCAUGCGGAACUUCUGUUUUGUUUUUGGAUUGAGAACAACGCACUACACUUAUCUAUAAACAAUUGGAGGGCAAGUCUGGUGCCGCCACCCCCGGCAAUUCCACCUCCACUAGCGUAUAUUAACGUUGUUGUGGUUAAAAAACUCACAAAA